GGAUGUGAAGGUGAUCUGGCUGUGACAUCUGUCACCCCACUGAUCUUUACGGUUGAUUCGGCUGAUCUGGCUGGCUGGCAGGUGUCCCCUUCCUCCCUCACCCAUCCAGGUGCAUCCCUCCCUCAGUCAAAGAGGACAAUCAUCCUGGAGAGACGACAAGCUCACCUACUAGAACCUCCAAAAAGAAGUUUUAGGAAAUGUGUUGGGGGAUGGUGGGAAACUUUUGGAAAUUAUGCAGGUUUUAGUAUAGUCCACCUCUAUUGCUCAGGACUUAUUUCCA
This 280-nucleotide small nuclear RNA is filed under the name Castor canadensis (American beaver). RNAcentral's name for it is "7SK RNA (ENSCCNG00000023699.1)". It matches the Rfam family "7SK RNA". From Rfam's summary of the family: 7SK was discovered as an abundant small nuclear RNA in the mid-70s but a possible function has only recently been suggested. Lineage: Eukaryota; Metazoa; Chordata; Mammalia; Rodentia; Castoridae. The record is from Rfam by way of RNAcentral.